GACGAACCGUGCGAACGUUGUUCGGAAUCACUGGGCUUAAAGGGCGCGUAGGCGGCCCGCCGCGUCCGGGGUGAAAUCCUCCCGCUCAACGGGAGAACGGCCUCGGAUACGGGCGGGCUGGAGGGGGGUAGGGGCAGGCGGAACUGUGGGUGGAGCGGUGAAAUGCGUUGAGAUCCACAGGAACUCCGGUGGCGAAGGCGGCCUGCUGGACCCCAUCUGACGCUGAGGCGCGAAAGCCAGGGAAGCGAACGGG
This 253-nucleotide ribosomal RNA is filed under the name uncultured bacterium. RNAcentral describes it as "partial 16S ribosomal RNA". It matches the Rfam family "Bacterial small subunit ribosomal RNA", at positions 524 to 776 of the family's 1533-position model. The record is from RNAcentral.